CCUACGGGAGGCAGCAGUGGGGAAUAUUGGGCAAUGGACGCAAGUCUGACCCAGCAACGCCGCGUGAAGGAAGAAGGCUUUCGGGUUGUAAACUUCUUUUAAGGGGGAAGAGCAGAAGACGGUACCUCUUGAAUAAGCCACGGCUAACUACGUGCCAGCAGCCGCGGUAAUACGUAGGUGGCAAGCGUUGUCCGGAUUUACUGGGUGUAAAGGGCGUGCAGCCGGAGAGACAAGUCAGGUGUGAAAUCCACGGGCUCAACCCGUGAACUGCAUUUGAAACUGUUUCCCUUGAGUGUCGGAGAGGUAAUCGGAAUUCCUAGUGUAGCGGUGAAAGGCGUAGAUAUUAGGAAGAACACCAGUGGCGAAGGCGGAUUACUGGACGAUAACUGACGGUGAGGCGCGAAAGCGUGGGGAGCAAACAGGAUUAGAUACCCCUGUAGUC
Molecule: ribosomal RNA, 442 nt
Filed under: uncultured bacterium
Lineage: Bacteria
Description: partial 16S ribosomal RNA
Rfam family: Bacterial small subunit ribosomal RNA
Source: RNAcentral